This 253-nucleotide ribosomal RNA is filed under the name uncultured bacterium. RNAcentral describes it as "partial 16S ribosomal RNA". It matches the Rfam family "Bacterial small subunit ribosomal RNA", at positions 524 to 776 of the family's 1533-position model. The record is from RNAcentral.
GACGUAGGGUCCAAGCGUUGUCCGGAUUUAUUGGGCGUAAAGAGCGCGUAGGCGGCUCGGUAAGUGUGAUGCUAAAUCUCUGGGCUCAACCCAGAAACUAUUUCGCAUACUGCCAAGCUGGAGUGAUGAAGAGGUUUGUGGAAUUCCUGGUGUAGCGGUGAAAUGCGUUGAUAUCAGGAGGAACACCGGUGGUGUAGACGGCUUACUAGACCAAGACUGACGCUGAGGCACGAAAGCGUGGGGAGCAAACAGG